CCAGCAGCCGCGGUAAUUCCAGCUCCAAUAGCAUAUAUUAACGUUGUUGCAGUUGAAAAGCUCGUAGUUGAACUUUUGGUAUGGGCGACCUGGCCUUGGGCGCAUGCCCUUGUUUGCUGUGUGUCGUACCUGGCCAUCCUUCGCAUUUCUUUUAUGGGGUGUGAUCAUUUACUGUGAGUAAACUGGAGUGCUCAAAACAAGACGUUUGUUUGGUACAUCCAAGCAUGGAAUAAUAAGAUAGGACCUGGUUACUAUUUUGUUGGUUUGCAUAGCUAGGUAAUGAUUAACAGGGACAGUUGGGGGUAUUCGUAUUUAAUUGUCAGAGGUGAAAUUCUUGGAUUUAUGAAAGACGAACGACUGCGAAAGCAUUUACCAAGGAUGUUUUCAU
This 388-nucleotide ribosomal RNA is filed under the name uncultured eukaryote. Its description in RNAcentral is "SSU rRNA". It matches the Rfam family "Eukaryotic small subunit ribosomal RNA", at positions 567 to 973 of the family's 1831-position model. The record is from RNAcentral.